UACGGAGGAUCCGAGCGUUAUCCGGAUUUAUUGGGUUUAAAGGGUGCGUAGGCGGUUUGAUAAGUUAGAGGUGAAAUGUCGGGGCUCAACCCCGAAACUGCCUCUAAUACUGUUGGACUAGAGAAUAGUUGCGGUAGGCGGAAUGUAUGGUGUAGCGGUGAAAUGCUUAGAGAUCAUACAGAACACCGAUUGCGAAGGCAGCUUACCAAACUAUAUCUGACGUUGAGGCGCGAAAGCGUGGGUAGCAAACAGG
This 253-nucleotide ribosomal RNA is filed under the name uncultured bacterium. Its description in RNAcentral is "partial 16S ribosomal RNA". It matches the Rfam family "Bacterial small subunit ribosomal RNA", at positions 524 to 776 of the family's 1533-position model. The record is from RNAcentral.